CUACUCUUCAAGAGUAGUUUUGUUGCUGCUGUUGUUAUUGCUCCUGUGAAACAAGAUCCUCAACCCAGGCUGCCCUUGAGCUUCAUGUGCAACUGAGGAUGACACUGAACUUCCAAUUCUCUUGUUGAGAUCACAGGAACCUUGAAAGCCAGAAGAGAGUAUGAUGAGAUACUCAAAGUCCUAACAGUGAAAAAGACUACUGUACCCAGCAAUUCUGAUUUUCACACUGGAGAGCAUCCGGGUCGUGAAUGACUGUCCACCUCCGCUCUACCGCCAUGCCCACAUGGCGUGGGUCACCUGCCAGCCUGCCACUGCAUCUGUUCGGCAUGCCAGCAUUUUUCCCUGCACAUGCAGGAUACCCUGGCCAGCCGGGGUCCCUCACAUGCAUAUAUUAUAACAUUGGUGCUAGUGACUCAGCAGAGGUCUUCCUGGUGCAUUCCUCCUGCCUGCCAAGAGUCGGAGACACACUAGGAGCCCUGGGACCAUCAACACUCACUUCAUCUAACACAGGCAUAAGCACCCCCUUUGCAACCUCAAGGAACAGACUCCUGAGAUCUCCAUGCCUGUGGAGAUGACGGUCAGCUAUGCUUCUUCACUCACGCCUCCCACUGUGCGUGACUCCCAGCUUCCCCCUCCCCACUUUGCCCCUUGUCAGCUUGAAGCAGUCUCAGGAAUUAAGUGCCCUUGUUACUCCACUUGCUAUCCAUAACUCACCUUUUUAUAAUAAUAAAAGUGGAGGAAUGUUAAUAUGCUGACCCGCCCCUUAGAAACCAAUGUUAGUAUUCUGAUCUGCCCCUUGGUGCCCCACUGUGCCCUGAAGUAAAAACCUUGUAGUGAUAUUUUAUUUGUGCUGAAAUGUGGUGGUAUUUUAUUUGUGAUUUAAUAAAUAAAGCUUGCCUGGAGAUCAGAGG
Molecule: long non-coding RNA, 911 nt
Organism: Peromyscus maniculatus bairdii (prairie deer mouse)
Lineage: Eukaryota; Metazoa; Chordata; Mammalia; Rodentia; Cricetidae
Source: RefSeq, a predicted model, not a curated record